RNAcentral lists this long non-coding RNA (363 nucleotides) under Betta splendens (Siamese fighting fish). RNAcentral's name for it is "lncRNA (ENSBSLG00000008629.1)". The record is from RNAcentral. Lineage: Eukaryota; Metazoa; Chordata; Actinopteri; Anabantiformes; Osphronemidae.
ACCCUGGACACAGCGGCGAAAACAGCCGUGUGAUGUAACGGCGCCUCUGUGGAAAUCGCAGGUACGCCUGACUGACUCACCUGACCCCGUGCGAUUGCAGCGUUCGCUCCUUCGGCCCCUAAUCUGGACUCCUUUUCCCCACUUCCACGGUGGAGGGAACCCAGCUUUCACCCGUGGCCUAUUGAAACACUGUGUGCUUUAUUGCUGUACAGAAGCUCAGGUGGGUGGAAGCGGCAGUGAUCUCUGUUACCAGAACGUGGUUGUGAUUAUCAUCGUAUGCAUAUGACUAACCCUCCACUCCUCACUACAGGUGAAACUGCAUCCUGCCGUGUCCUGCUGAGUCAUGCUACCUGACUGACUGUU